UCGCAGGGUUGUACGAAACCCGAAGGCGCAACAAAAGUGAAUGAUCUUCGGAUCUAGGUGGGAUCCCGAAGCCACAUUUGGCGACGGGCGCACCACCGGCCUGUCUCGGCCGCGACGUCGGCGAGGCGGAGCAAGAGCGUACGCGUUGGGACCCGAAAGAUGGUGAACUAUGCCUGAGCAGGAUGAAGCCAGAAGAAAUUCUG
Molecule: ribosomal RNA, 203 nt
Filed under: Haemadipsa montana
Lineage: Eukaryota; Metazoa; Annelida; Clitellata; Hirudinida; Haemadipsidae
Description: partial 28S ribosomal RNA
Rfam family: Eukaryotic large subunit ribosomal RNA
Source: RNAcentral